RNAcentral lists this ribosomal RNA (496 nucleotides) under uncultured bacterium. RNAcentral's name for it is "partial 16S ribosomal RNA". It matches the Rfam family "Bacterial small subunit ribosomal RNA", at positions 29 to 507 of the family's 1533-position model. The record is from RNAcentral.
AUGAACGCUGGCGGCGUGCCUAAUACAUGCAAGUCGAGCGAACGGACGAGAAGCUUGCUUUUCUGAUGUUAGCGGCGGACGGGUGAGUAACACGUGGAUAACCUACCUAUAAGACUGGGAUAACUUCGGGAAACCGGAGCUAAUACCGGAUAAUAUUUUGAACCGCAUGGUUCAAAAGUGAAAGACGGUCUUGCUGUCACUUAUAGAUGGAUCCGCGCUGCAUUAGCUAGUUGGUAAGGUAACGGCUUACCAAGGCAACGAUGCAUAGCCGACCUGAGAGGGUGAUCGGCCACACUGGAACUGAGACACGGUCCAGACUCCUCCGGGAGGCAGCAGUAGGGAAUCUUCCGCAAUGGGCGAAAGCCUGACGGAGCAACGCCGCGUGAGUGAUGAAGGUCUUCGGAUCGUAAAACUCUGUUAUUAGGGAAGAACAUAUGUGUAAGUAACUGUGCACAUCUUGACGGUACCUAAUCAGAAAGCCACGGCUAACUACGUG